GACAGAGGGGGCAAGCGUUGUCCGGAUUGACUGGGCGUACAGCGCGCGCAGGCGGUGUGCGACGUGCCCCUGUGACAGGCGGGGGCUCAACCCCCGACGGCCAGGGUAGACGCGCACGCUAGAGGCGAGGGAGAGGGCAGUGGAAUACCCGGUGGAGCGGUGAAAUGCGUAGAGAUCGGGUGGAACACCAGGGCGAAGGCGGCUGCCUGGCCCUGACCUGACGCUGAGGAGCGAAAGCGUGGGGAGCAAACAGG
Molecule: ribosomal RNA, 254 nt
Filed under: uncultured bacterium
Lineage: Bacteria
Description: partial 16S ribosomal RNA
Rfam family: Bacterial small subunit ribosomal RNA
Source: RNAcentral